CAGGUGAGCCUUCCCACUCGACUACCCCUUCCAAGGACCGUGGCCUCGGUGGCCCAAGUCCGCCAAGCAGCCCCGAGCAAGAGCAACAGGAGGCCACUCACCACUACGUGCGCACCGGGCAGCGCGAGGGGCUUGGGGCUGAUGAGCGGCGACACCAUGUAGAGGAGCAGCACGAAGGCCACGAGGCCGGCGGCCGCCAGCAGCAGCAUCUCUCGUCCAAACGACCACAGGCAGAUCACGCGCACUAGCUCACGGAGUGUUUGGGUUUGCGGGCGAGGGCGGGACGGCGGCGAGGGGAAGAGGAGGAGCCGGGGCGGGGCGGCCUCCGCCGUCGGACUGGCUUUUGGGUCCGCGCCCCCCAGCGUCGGGACUCGGCUGCGCAGGCUCCGUAUGGGUACCGUGGGCCCUCCCGCCAACGUCGCGGGAGGUUUGCAAACGGCGGCUUUCGGAUCUCCGGAUCUUGUCUCGUGCAAAGAUUCCCGUGAUUCCACUCUGAAAUCCGAGAUUCCAGUUCGUAUAUUCCUGGAGCACUGAGAAAAUGGUCAGGGUUUACUUUCGCUGUGCGCCUUGACUUGGGGUUGUGCUGACUGAGGACAGUGUUCACCUUGUUACCAAGGCAGAUACAAUCGAAAACAAGCCGUGGUGGCAGAGAUUUAAUUCGCGUACCGGAACAUACGAUUCACCGAUUUAACGUGGUUUUAGUAUAGAGAGUGUCUAACUAUGGCCACAAUCAAUUUGUCGACCACCACAGAACUCCUGUAAUCAUUGGCAGUUACACCCACCCCAUUUUCUCUUAAAUCGUGCCCAGUCAUAGGCAAUCACAGAGCUGUCUCUGGAUUCGCCUAUUAAUACAAAUGGAGUUCUAAUAAUAUGCCAUUUGUUGUGCUGGCUUCUUUGACUUAGCAUAAAGCUUUAAAGUUUCUUCUUUAGUAUGCCUAACAGAAUUUAAUUUCUUUUUCUGCCGGUAGUAUCCUACUGUAGGCUGGAUCACAUUUAUUUCAUUCAUCACCUUUUGCUCACCACCCCUCCUCCCAAAACAAACGUUCGAACAACCCUGCUCCUGGGCUCAACAUGUCGGGACUCUGGCUAUGAAACCUGAAGAUGUGUGACCACCCUGCGGCCCACAUGAGAGAAGACUCCUGGAGGUUGUCCUCUGGCCUCCACUAGUGUGCAUGGCCCUCACUACCACCAUCACACUCACUGGAUUAAUUUAGUAAACUCUACGGCAGUGUAUAACUUCGUAUACAGCACGUGUGUGAAUGUUUGUGUGUGGGUGCACGUGCACAUUUUUGUUACUGUGUUGAGACCCAGGUCAAUUGCUGGCUCUUAUGCAAGUCUUCUUAAGCUCAGAGUUCCAGACUUUCUCACCCUACACUCCAAGACUUCUUAUCCUCUGUAUUACUAAAAUCUUUCCGCUGGAUACUUCUUUUGGGGGAAGGGGGUAAGCAAACAUCCUUCCUCCCUCAAGAUUCCAGAUGGCUUCUCUUCUUAGGUAUUUUGAAAUCCAGAUCUUCAGAAGAGAGACUGGCAGAAUCACUGCAGCAAGUGGAGGUCCCAUCAAGAUCUGGAAAAGAUACUCUGAGGGAUAUCCUCCAAAAGACUAGCAAGUAUAAAGAAGAGGUGGGAGGGUGAAUUGAAAGGUCUCAAAAAGUAACUGAAACUCCUACAGCAACAAGGCACGGAAGUAACAAGGAAGUCAGCAGGAGAUUUUGUACAGGAGGGGGUUUAAAUGUUGCAGACUGGGAACAAGCCAAGUCAGAUUAAAAGGAGUAUGUGUUUCUUCAUCCCCAGAGAUGCUUUGAGGGAUGCCCUCUGGAAGACUGGCCAGUAGGGAACUAAUAAAGAGGAGACAGGAGGGUGAAUUGAGGGCCCCCAAAAGAUAGAAAGUGUACAGAUGUAUGUUAUUGUAUUGAUUGUGUUGUCUUUUGUGUUCUGUACUGGAGAAAGACAUUUGAUUCUGGGAACUGCUAAGAAAGGUAUUUUGACUUUAAAAUAUGGGCCUAAGGAUUUAAUGCUUUGGAAAAGAGGUUCUGCUUUUGUCUCCACAGAGGAUGAGAACCUGUGGAUUCAUUGCAAAUUUAUGUGGUUUGAAUCACGGAGACCCCCCUGAAAUGUUGAUGUAAAAUACCCCCCUGCAAGAAUGCAGCACCUCUGCUCAGCAGGAAGUAGCCAGACAGGUUGACAACACCCAAAUUCCCUAAAAGAUUGUUAAAGUGGGGCCCCUUCAAUGGUUCUGGAGCAGGAGCAGCGAGCCUGCUUCCCUGAGUUCUCUCCGCUCCAUGCAGCAGUUUGGACCGAGAGAGAGCGUGUCUGGGGCCGGAAGGCAGCUGGAGCAGAGUUUUGAUAGAUGGCUGUGGCAAAAGGUAUGUUGCCCUGGCCCAGUCGGUGCCUUGCCUGGGGGACACCAUGAUGAUGUCAGGAGUAUCAGCAAAUAUGGCAACAAGUGCUGAACCAUAGAAGAUCGGCAGAAGUUCCCAGACUGUGCAGGCCCCUGAGACUGUCAACCAGCUAGCUAAAAGAGUCAGCAAUGCUUUGGACAUUCAAAAUGAUCUUAAUGGACAUAUUCAACUGGGCAUAUUGACCUUGAACCAACAAGUGGCUCUGGUUCAGAAGCAAGUGAACUGUCUGGACUUUUCAACUGCUAACAUGUACCAGCUUUUAUCAUGUUAUGUGCAUUACUCAUGGCACUGUAUUGCAUGCUUCUGCUACUGUUAUGGAACUCAACUGUCAUAUGAGAGGGGUUUGGAAUACUGCUUUUGUUAAUUUUACCACCCAGUUAGUGCAUGCUAGAUGGUUGCAGUGCUGGUCUAGCUCAUUGGCACUGUCAGUCCUGGCCAUACUUGGUUUAGGGCUAUGUGUCUGGUUAGCCACGGAUGGGCAAUACUUUGGUAUAGUGAUAAUGCGAGCAGGCCUGCUUUUUGUCCCGCCUGGCUCCCGCAUGGCUAGCUUUAUACCCGAAAUAACAACACACAAAUUGUAUUCAUUUCAACACUGCCUGGCCCAUUAGCUCUAGCCUCUU
This is a long non-coding RNA of Arvicola amphibius (Eurasian water vole), 3019 nucleotides long. RefSeq lists it as uncharacterized. Lineage: Eukaryota; Metazoa; Chordata; Mammalia; Rodentia; Cricetidae. The record is from RefSeq and is a predicted model, not a curated record. The transcript has 4 exons.